Molecule: ribosomal RNA, 502 nt
Filed under: uncultured Glomus
Lineage: Eukaryota; Fungi; Glomeromycota; Glomeromycetes; Glomerales; Glomeraceae
Description: SSU rRNA
Rfam family: Eukaryotic small subunit ribosomal RNA
Source: RNAcentral
AGCAGCCGCGGUAAUUCCAGCUCCAAUAGCGUAUAUUAAAGUUGUUGCAGUUAAAAAGCUCGUAGUUGAAUUUCGGGAUCAGUACGCUGGUCAUGCCUUUGGUAUGCACUGGUGUCACUGGUUUCUCCCUUCUGAAGAUCCGUGAUGUCAUUAAUUUGGUGUCGCGGGGAAUCAGGACUGUUACUUUGAAAAAAUUAGAGUGUUUAAAGCAGGCUCACGCCUGAAUACAUUAGCAUGGAAUAAUGAAAUAGGACGUUUGACCCUAUUUUGUUGGUUUCUAGGAUCGACGUAAUGAUUAAUAGGGAUAGUUGGGGGCAUUAGUAUUCAAUUGUCAGAGGUGAAAUUCUUGGAUUUAUUGAAGACUAACUACUGCGAAAGCAUUUGCCAAGGAUGUUUUCAUUAAUCAAGAACGAAAGUUAGGGGAUCGAAGACGAUCAGAUACCGUCGUAGUCUUAACCAUAAACUAUGCCGACUAGGGAUCGGAUGAUGUAUUUUUAAUUGA